RNAcentral lists this ribosomal RNA (207 nucleotides) under uncultured bacterium. Its description in RNAcentral is "partial 16S ribosomal RNA". It matches the Rfam family "Bacterial small subunit ribosomal RNA", at positions 568 to 774 of the family's 1533-position model. The record is from RNAcentral.
CACGCAGGCGGCCGCCUCAGUCAGAUGUGAAAGCCCACGGCUCAACCGUGGAAUUGCAUUUGAUACUGGGUGGCUAGAGUACGGUUGGGGUGAGUGGAACUCCUGGUGGAGCGGUGAAAUGCGUAGAUAUCAGGAGGAACACCAGUGGCGAAAGCGGCUCACUGGACCGUAACUGACGCUCAGGUGCGAAAGCUAGGGUAGCGAACG